GACGAACGCUGGCGGCGUGCUUAACACAUGCAAGUCGAACGGAAAGGCCCCCAUCUUGGUGGGGGUGCUCGAGUGGCGAACGGGUGAGUAACACGUGGGUGAUCUGCCCUGUACUUCGGGAUAAGCUUGGGAAACUGGGUCUAAUACCGGAUAGGACCAUGGUUUAGUGUCUCAUGGUGGAAAGAUUAUUGUUUUGGUGCAGGAUGAGCUCGCGGCCUAUCAGCUUGUUGGUGGGGUAAUGGCCUACCAAGGCGUCGACGGGUAGCCGGCCUGAGAGGGUGGACGGCCACAUUGGGACUGAGAUACGGCCCAGACUCCUACGGGAGGCAGCAGUGGGGAACAUUGCACAAUGGGCGCAAGCCUGAUGCAGCGACGCCGCGUGGGGGAUGACGGCCUUCGGGUUGUAAACUCCUUUCGUUAGGGACGAAGCCACGCUUUUGGGGUGUGGUGACGGUACCUUUGUUAAGAAGCACCGGCUAACUACGUG
This 487-nucleotide ribosomal RNA is filed under the name uncultured bacterium. RNAcentral describes it as "partial 16S ribosomal RNA". It matches the Rfam family "Bacterial small subunit ribosomal RNA", at positions 28 to 507 of the family's 1533-position model. The record is from RNAcentral.